AGCAGCUGAUGAGUCCUCAAUAGGACGAAACGCGCGUUCUGGAU
Molecule: non-coding RNA, 44 nt
Filed under: Schistosoma margrebowiei
Lineage: Eukaryota; Metazoa; Platyhelminthes; Trematoda; Strigeidida; Schistosomatidae
Source: RNAcentral